Long non-coding RNA from Ipomoea triloba (trilobed morning glory), 659 nucleotides. RefSeq lists it as uncharacterized. Lineage: Eukaryota; Viridiplantae; Streptophyta; Magnoliopsida; Solanales; Convolvulaceae. The transcript is spliced from 3 exons. The record is from RefSeq and is a predicted model, not a curated record.
AGGUUGCAAAGUUGCAUUACAUGUUUGAAUGCUUGACGCCUUGACAGUCGCACACUCAUCAUCGUCUUUCUCAGGAAAAUUAGAUUUGUGUUGACCUGUUGAUUGCCCAUUACCGCAUUGUUCACAAGUAGAACGGUAAUAGUACUGAGACCAUCAUCAUCAUAAUCUUCCAUUGGAGCAGGAAGGUUGAGAUCUAUUAAAGCACCUCCCGUUCUUGAUAGCCCUUGUUUCUCAAGAUUCAUGGAGGUAGAAGUGGAAGCAGCUUCUGUGCUAACAAUUGCUGACACAGAAUCUGCAAAAUGUGAUUUUUGUGUCCACCCAAGGCUUGCCCUGAAGAAAACACUCUAUAACAGAUGCGACAUGGCGAUGGCUAUGAACAUGAGUAAUCACUGCUAAUUCCUUACCGGUUUAGAAGAAGAAAGUCGUGGAGACCCAUGCGAGCAUUGGGAAGGCUAUUUGGAGGUUCCAACGGGAGUUGGUCUUCGCAUCAGAAGCUAGAAGGUCUUCGCAUCCGUCUUCCCGGUUGCUUCUUGCAGCGUAGCGCUCCGCCAUAGCAACGGCAACCUAUUCAUAUUGAAUCCCUAGUUGGUUGUUCAGAGAGGAACCCAACUGCUAAGAUCUAAUCAAAAGCAAUCACUUUCCAGCACCUUUCAUCAAUU